UGCCAGCCGCCGCGGUAAUACGGAGGAGGCAAGCGUUGUUCGGAAUUAUUGGGCUUAAAGCGCGUGUAGGCGGCCAAGUAAGUGUCUUGUGAAAUCCCUCGGCUCAACCGAGGAACUGCUCGGCAUACUGCUUGGCUUGAGGUCGGUAGAGGUGACUGGAACUCUAGGUGGAGCGGUGAAAUGCGUAGAUAUCUAGAGGAACGCCGGAGGCGAAAGCGGGUCACUGGGCCGAUUCUGACGCUGAGACGCGAAAGCGUGGGUAGCAAACAGGAUUAGAUA
Molecule: ribosomal RNA, 279 nt
Filed under: uncultured bacterium
Lineage: Bacteria
Description: partial 16S ribosomal RNA
Rfam family: Bacterial small subunit ribosomal RNA
Source: RNAcentral